Long non-coding RNA from Passer domesticus (house sparrow), 363 nucleotides. RefSeq lists it as uncharacterized. NCBI's taxonomy places the organism in Eukaryota, Metazoa, Chordata, Aves, Passeriformes, Passeridae. The transcript has 3 exons. The record is from RefSeq and is a predicted model, not a curated record.
GGAAAAGCUGUGAGAAACAGCUCUGGGAGCAGCCAAGCCAGAGAAUGACACAGGGAAGGAGGUGCUGGAGCAGAUCCUGGUUUCACCUCAGUGUUGUGAGGAGGGGGAGUGUGAGCAGCCAACCCACCACAGCAACAGUUCAAAAGCUCAGUGGCUGAAUAAUUAUACCCCAACCUGCCACCAUUAAAUAAGCAUUAAAGGGCUAUACAUACUGCUCUGGGGAAAAGAGAGUUCCAGAAAAAAGGCCUAAUUAUACUGAAAGAUUCACAAGAUGGUCCCCCAAAUGAAAAACACCAUAUGUGGCAUCUUACAUACUAAGCAAGUCAAGAAGCAAAUUCCUACAGUAUGAAACACCAUCACUGC